CGGACGGGUGAGUAACGCGUGAGAAUUUGCCUUUAGGAGGGGGACAACAGACAGAAAUGACUGCUAAUACCCCAUAUGCUUUCGAGUAAAAUGGAUUUUUCCGCCUAAAGAGAAGCUUGCGGCUGAUUAGCUUGUUGGUAAGGUAAUGGCUUACCAAGGCGACGAUCAGUAUCUGGUUUGAGAGGAUGAUCAGACACACUGGAACUGAGACACGGUCCAGACUCCUACGGGAGGCAGCAGUGGGGAAUUUUCCGCAAUGGGCGAAAGCCUGACGGAGCAAUCUCGCGUGAGGGAUGAAUGCCUAUGGGUUGUAAACCUCUUUUUUCAGGGAGGAAUAAGUGACGUGUACCUGAAGAAUAAGCAUCGGCUAACUCCGUGCCAGCAGCCGCGGUAAGACGGAGGAUGCAAGUGUUAUCCGGAAUCACUGGGCGUAAAGCGUCUGUAGGUGGUUUAAUAAGUCAACUGUUAAAUCUUGAGGCUCAACCUCAAAACCGCAGUCGAAACUAUUAGACUAGAGUAUAGUAGGGGUAAAGGGAAUUUCCAGUGGAGCGGUGAAAUGCGUAGAGAUUGGAAAGAACACCGAUGGCGAAGGCACUUUACUGGGCUAUUACUAACACUCAGAGACGAAAGCUAGGGUAGCAAAUGGGAUUAGAUACCCCAGUAGUC
RNAcentral lists this ribosomal RNA (666 nucleotides) under uncultured diatom. Its description in RNAcentral is "SSU rRNA". It matches the Rfam family "Bacterial small subunit ribosomal RNA", at positions 99 to 795 of the family's 1533-position model. The record is from RNAcentral. Lineage: Eukaryota; Bacillariophyta.